ACAUUAUGAUGAGAUUCCACUCUAUGGUCCAUGUUUCUGAAAUGACAAAGUAAUUUUGAAUGACUCUGAUCAU
Molecule: small nucleolar RNA, 73 nt
Organism: Catagonus wagneri (Chacoan peccary)
Lineage: Eukaryota; Metazoa; Chordata; Mammalia; Artiodactyla; Tayassuidae
Gene: SNORD18
Rfam family: Small nucleolar RNA SNORD18
About the family: U18 is a member of the C/D class of snoRNA which contain the C (UGAUGA) and D (CUGA) box motifs. It is encoded in introns of ribosomal protein L1 in Xenopus and human, and in introns of elongation factor 1 beta in yeast.
Source: Ensembl